This 271-nucleotide ribosomal RNA is filed under the name uncultured bacterium. RNAcentral describes it as "partial 16S ribosomal RNA". It matches the Rfam family "Bacterial small subunit ribosomal RNA", at positions 524 to 794 of the family's 1533-position model. The record is from RNAcentral.
UACGGAGGGAGCUAGCGUUGUUCGGAAUUACUGGGCGUAAAGCGCACGUAGGCGGCUUUUCAAGUCAGGGGUGAAAUCCCGGGGCUCAAACCCCCGGAACUGCCCUUGAAAUGGAUGGCUAGAAUACUGGAGAGGUGAGUGGAAUUCCGAGUGUAGAGGUGAAAUUCGUAGAUAUUCGGAAGAACACCAGUGGCGAAGGCGACUCACUGGACAGUUAUUGACGCUGAGGUGCGAAAGCGUGGGGAGCAAACAGGAUUAGAUACCCGUGCGU